GGAUGAACGCUAGCUACAGGCUUAACCCAUGCAAGUCGCGGGGCAGCAUGGGGGUUGCUUGCAAUCCCUGAUGGCGACCGGCGCACGGGUGAGUAACGCGUAUCCAACCUGCCCUUCACCACGGGAUAACCCGGCGAAAGUCGGACUAAUACCGUAUGUUGUCCAUUGACGGCCUCCGAUUUGGACGAAAGGCUUAGCGGGGAGGGAUGGGGAUGCGUCCGAUUAGCUUGACGGCGGGGUAACGGCCCACCGUGGCUACGAUCGGUAGGGGUUCUGAGAGGAAGGUCCCCCAGACUGGAACUGAGACACGGUCCAGACUCGUACGGGAGGCAGCAGUGAGGAAUAGUGGUCAAUGGGCGUAAGCCUGAACCAGCCAAGUAGCGUGCAGGAGGACGGCCCUAUGGGUUGUAAACUGCUUUUAUGCGGGGAUAAAGGGACCCACGUGUGGGUUUUUGCAGGUACCGCAUGAAUAAGGACCGGCUAAUUCCGUG
This 491-nucleotide ribosomal RNA is filed under the name uncultured bacterium. Its description in RNAcentral is "partial 16S ribosomal RNA". It matches the Rfam family "Bacterial small subunit ribosomal RNA", at positions 27 to 507 of the family's 1533-position model. The record is from RNAcentral.